GAGAGACACAGGGAAAGAAAUAGAGCAGACCUUAACAGACGUGUACAGUCGUCAGACAGGGAUGAGGUAAGAAGGUGCCGGCAAGAGGCAGUGACUUUGAGAGAGUGGUCCAAGUGAAUCCGCUUGUGGGAGGAUGAGCAAGGUGAGAGGUGGACAAGAGUUAAGAAAGUGAUGGCUUUAGCAUGAGGGAAAGGUCACUGAAGAUUUCCUCCUUGAUGGACAUUGGAAAAAGGACUUCAAAGAAGAGAAACACGAGCUGAAAAGGUACUUAUGACUCACUGUUUUGACUCUUGAGAAAGACUGGAUGAUUGUCACAGAUCGGAAAUGACUACAAAUAUGACAUAGGCAGAACAAUUCAGGCCACAGAGCAACAAUCUGAGCAGGAGUUAAAGAAAAGAGACUAAAAUAGAAACGCUGCAAAUGAGAAAACAUGCCAGUCUACGCACCACGCCGAAGACAGCAUGGAAACUUUAACUGUGACAACGACACAGCAAGAGACUCCUAUUAAAAAUUCAUGCUGACAGGCCACUCUGGAAACAACUUGCUUCCUCCGCGACAGAGGGGAAAACAGGGAAGGGAAAACUGUUUUCAUCAUGUGGGUUUUUUGCACUAGACAAGUUGGCAAGUAUGUCAGGUUAUGUUGACAUCCUGCAGCCAACUGAGCUGUACACAUCGUAGUGGCCGGCACGUGGCCUCAUGGAGGUGCUCAGUCAGGUGUGAGGAAAGAGCAAUGACGACUUGCAGAAGAACCGGAGCUGUGACUGUCAAGAGAAAAGAAAUAAACAUUUGCAACACCAUUAAAAUUAAAUGGGGCUGCAGCCAUAUCUAUUUUGAGAGCUAAAUGAAUUAUCGGCUUAAAUAGACAAUUACAUUUUUAAAAGACUAAUGACCUGCUUUGAAAUCCACUAAGUGUUACUAAUUAUUGCCAGCUACCAAUCUGUUUUUUUUUUUUUUUCUUCUUCUUUUUUUAAAUUUUCAUCUUGGGCAGAAUACAACCUUUCUGACUUUCCCUGAAAAAAAAAAAAGCCUUAUUUUUGGUAAUCUUCCAGUGUUGGAUUCCUUUAAAAGCUUAAGAAAGCACAACAUUGUUUUUUGUUUUUUGCACCAGAAGGAUCUUGAAUGCAUAUCUUUUUUGUAUCUCUGCAGCAAAAUACCUCUUGAUAGAUGACUCUCAACAUUGAUAGAUCUUAAUUUCAUCAAGCCAUAAGCCCUUCACUCUGACCUGAAUAUCCAAUUCCUAAAAAAAACACAUUAAUAAAGCAGGGCAACAGUCUAUAGCCGUUGAAAGACCAGAUUCGUGUUCAUGUUUGUGCAUAUACUCCUGAGUACCUUUGCUAUCCAUGUUCGAGUGAUGCCAUAGACCUGUGUGUGCUGAUCAAGCUUUGUGUUUGAACAUUCACCCCCUCCAAAUGACACCCGGAGAACCAUGUGUUGCUUUGAUGCAGCCCACCAGCAACAAAGCUGGAAAUGAACAGCAGUGGUGAGCGGGGGGCACUGAGACGAGGAGAAUAGGAAGGAUAAAGGAACUGACGGGCAACAGGAUUGGAAAAAACUGACAUCAUGCUCGGAUAAACAGAAGAAAGAAAAGUGUUUCUGGCUGCCCCUCGGGUGCAAUGUGUGGCGCCGUGCCCUGUGGUGGUGGGGUUCUGUGAUGGUAACCAUGAUCGCCGGCAGCCACUAUAUCUGCAGCACUCAUGCAAGAGAGGAUGACUCCACAAAUGAUCGAGAGGAGCGGAUUUUAGCAGUGCUGGGCAUCAUUGGGACCAUUCUGAAUCUUUUAGUGGUCAUAUUUGUCUACAUCUACACUUCUGUAACUUAAGACAGACCUGAACACGAACGAAUGGCACCUACUCAACGUCCCUUUCACCAUACAUCUCUUCAAGUAUUUAUGUGCUUGGACGGUUAGAUCAUUAUGUGUUAAGAUAGAAGGAUCCUUGGCAGUGAGUUCUGUUGGCUUGUCGCCAACUGCAACUACAUCCAUUCACUGCUGUAAGAAUAGUUUUCCAUUUACUCAAGACUUCUGUCAAAUGUCGCGAUAGAGGUGCGUUCCAUGAUGCCCCUUGUCUCACUUCUUUCUCAUAUUUUACUUGUCAUCCUAACGCAGCCUCAUGCCAAGUCAUAGGUGACAGUGAUUACCAAAAAUUACGACUUGGGCUUUCUUUGUGGAUGGGAUUUUAUCCGAUAGUGGAUUUUACUGUGCUGCUUUUAAUACUGACUAUUGAAGAAGUUUAUGUCAAUGUUUCUGUUUGUACGGUUGGCUUUUUUCACUGUCAUGUGAAUAUUUAAUCCAAUGGACCAAGCAAAUGUAGCAGCCUGACAAGUAGGCUACUAAGAACUAUCGACGGAUGAACAUUUGUGCCUCUUCUUAAAAUUUGCUACUUAAUAUGAUUUACCUAAUAACAUAAUAUUAGUUGUUGUAGUGAGCAGCAUUUAAAAACAUUUCCAUGGAUUUAACGUGUCCAUACCUUAGCACACCAGAGGAAAGAUUCCUGGCAGUGCUUGGGGUCAUUGGCAUUAUGCUCAACCUCUUACUGCUUGCCUUUGUCUACAUAUACACAUCUGUUUGAGAAGCCGCUUCCUCAAAAAAACAUCGACAACAAAAACGAUUACAUAUUCUACUGUGAAAAGGGAUUAUUUUCUCUAAACAAGCAAAUAUCCUGGGGUUGUGUUUAUAUUACAUCUCUCAAAAUUGAAAUACAUAUGUCCUCUUAAUAUAUAUGCUAUUUUGACAAAGGUUUGCACCCUUCAGGUUUUGUUGCAUAAACCCACUUUAGUCCAGAUGAACAUCAUGGCAUGUUUACUUAAACUUGCUUUGCCAUGACCUUAGACAGAUGUAAUUGAAUUAAUGCUGUUUGUGCUAAAUGCCUUUCCAUGUUCAAACCAUAAAACACUCAAAGAUGGAAUGAAAGCGUGUCGACAAGUUUGCGCAGCGGCUCAUCACAAAACGCAAAGAUCCCUCUGUGGUUGCUCGGUGUCAUAGGAUAAUGGCUUAUCUCCUGUUGCAAUGCCUUUUUGGUUGGAUCUGUCAGGCUUUUGCAGAGCACUAUCAGAGGUGGGAAAGUUCAAAACGGAGACAUUGUCACUUAAAUCAAGACUGUGUACUGUUACAACAUGACUUCAAAGUACAAUAUUUUUGUAAAGGAGAUGAGCAGAGACAAUGGGGAUUGUUUGACAAAAGAACAGCUGAAGCAUCUGUUCCCGCUUUCUCAUCACAGGAAGAUGCGGAAAAUGAUCUGCGAAUAGGUUCUUUUUCCACUGGUGAUGCAUGUCAGUGUAUAUAUGAUUUGGGGUACCGUGAAUUCAAGGGAGGGAAAAACGCACAUCGUAAGAGAAGAGGAAGGAUGGGUUUAAACCUUCAUCAGAUCCUCAUAAUUCUCUUUGCUACCAAUAAGUUAAAACCAGAGAAAACAUAAUACCAACUGGACCCACACAAAUCUCCCCAGCAAAGCACAUUACUUUUCUAUUGCCACCAGUGUAUCUGAAAGCCGAGGCCAAGCUGACACAUGGGCCGCAAAAGUAAGCUGGGCAACUUGCAAACUUCUUCUCCCAAUACAAUAUAUCAUUUUUUGCUUCCGAAAUUAACUAUUUCAACAAAAAACUUUUUUUUUUCUUUUAAUCAUACUUACAAUUAAAGUAGCGUUGUACUUAAGCAAAUCUGCAUUACUCGUUGAACGCCUUUAUAUUAUUAGAUUCACUCAAUGGCCAUGUCUAUACAAAUAAGCAGUCAGGGUUCUCUGAUAGUAUAAUAAGGUUUGGUUCAUAACUUGUAUGAUUUGUUAAACAUACUGUACCACAACCAGGGAAAACAGAUAACAAAAAAAUUGUAAAUCAUUGUAUUUCAUUCAACCACUUCUGUCAUUGAGAUGAAAAGUGUUGGUACUACCCAAACAUGUAUUUGCGUCAUCACAUUCACAGAUGAAUCAAUUGGUUUAGUUUGGACAUGGUAAAUCAUGGUCAUCGGGCACUAAAUGAAUUCAAGGUACCAUCGUUGGUUGAUAAUAACUGCUUUUUUUUUCCCUCGACUAAUUAACCUUUGAAUAAAUGUAUCCAUAUGUAUAAAAAUCAAUAUGUGUUUCAUGUAAAUAGCCUCACACAACUGGUGUCAGUAGAACUACUUUAACCACUGAGCAGAAAACAAGAUCAUUGCAUCACUCUUCAUUAAUGACCUUAUAACGUUUAACAUUUUGAAAGAGCAAAGUAUCACCAUGCAGACGUCUAUAUACUAAUAAACGAAAAUGACACUUGUAAACCUACAACAAUCAGUCAUACUGUAUUUCAGACAUUUUAAAUGUCCUCUUAAAUUCUGAACAAGCAAAUACAGUAAAAUGCAUUUAGCGACAGUGCUGCCCAAAAGUAUUGGCACCCCUGCAAUUCUGUCAGAUAAUGCUCAAGUUCUCCCAGAAAAUUAUUGCAACUACAAAUGCUUUGGUAUUAAUAUCUUCAUUUUUUUGCUUGCAAUGAAAAAACACAAAAGAGAAUGUAAAAAAAAAAAAAAAAAUCGUUAUCAUUUUACAUCAAACUCCAAAAAUGGGCCGGACAAAGUAUUGGCGUCCUUUGAAAAAUCAUUUGAUGCUUCUCUAAUUUGUGUAAUUAACAGCACCUGUUAAUUACCUGUGGAACAUAACAGGUGGUGGCAAUAACUAAAUCACACUUGCAGCCAGUUAAAAUGGAUUAAAGUUGACUUAACCUCUUUCCUGUGUCCUUGUGUGUACCACAUUGAGCAUUGAGAAAAGAACGAAGACCAAAGAACUGUCUGAGGACUUUGGAAGCAAAAUAGUGACCUGAAUGUUCCUGUGUCUACCGUGCGCAGUGUCAUCAAUAAGCGUAAAGCCCAUGGCACUGUGGCUAACUUCCCUAGAUGUGGACGGAUAAGACAAGAGAUUUCAAUUUUCACAAGACUGUGCGGAUGGUGGAUAAAGAACCUAGACUAACAUCCAAACAAGUUCAAGCAGUCCUGCAGUCCAAGGGUAAAACAGUGUCAACCCGUACUAUCCGUCAGCGUCUGAAUGAAAAGGGACUCUACGGUAGGAUACCCAGGAAGACCCCACUUCUGACCUAGAGACAUAAAAAAGCCAGGCUGGAGUUUGCCAAAAGUAGAGCUUUUGGGGAAAAGGCAUCAACACCAGUGGCGCCUCCAGAAAUUUUUCAUAGGGGACGCCAGAUGGGGCCACUUAAAAUCUUGGGGUGGCCAAACUAAAAGCCAUAAUUUCAGGUUUUCAUUAUAUUAUUGCAGUAAAAAGGUCAGGGGAAAACUAUCAGAAAGCUUAAGGACAUGGCUACUGUUACACUUUGGUGUAUUGUGUAAUAUUUGAUGUUACUAAUGAUUUAAUGUGCAUAGUCCAUAACUGUCCAGUCAACAUUUAGAGUUCAACAACAAUUCUGUUUUAUUGUGUUAUGUAUAUAUUAGGCAUAAGGUGUACAUUUAACUAGGGCUGUCAAACGAUUAAAAUUUUUUAAUCGAGUUAAUCACAGCUUAAAAAUUAAUUAAUCGUAAUUAAUCGCAAUUCUAGCCAUCUCUAAAAUAUGCCAUAUUUUUCUGUAAAUGAUUGUUGGAAUGGAAAGAUAAGACAAGACAGAUAUAUACAUCCAACAUACUGUACAUAAGUACUGUAUUUGUUUAUUAUAACAAUCAAUCCACAAGAUGGCAUUAACAUUCUUUCUGUGAAAGGGAUCAACGGAUAGAAAGACUUGUAAUUCUUAAAGGAUAAAUGUGAGUUUGUAUAUUGUGACUAAAUAUUGCCAUCUAGUGUAUUUGUUGAGCUUUCAGUAAAUGAUACUGUAGCGACUUAACUGUUCUUCCCAAAUGCAUGAUUGGAAGCUGUGCAACCAUGACUGUGUGUGGUGGCUACAAAUGCUUUAUCUUCUCUGCGUUGGGUACACUACAGGGUGUUAAGAAAAAGAUCAACUCCUGUCAUUCUUCCCCACGUCGCUUCCCACAAUAUUUAUAGUUGCUGUGGGGGCUGAAAAAGCUUUUGCCAAUUAAAAGCACCAAUGAAU
Long non-coding RNA from Corythoichthys intestinalis (scribbled pipefish), 5997 nucleotides. RefSeq lists it as uncharacterized. The transcript is spliced from 2 exons. NCBI's taxonomy places the organism in Eukaryota, Metazoa, Chordata, Actinopteri, Syngnathiformes, Syngnathidae. The record is from RefSeq and is a predicted model, not a curated record.